RNAcentral lists this non-coding RNA (199 nucleotides) under bovine gut metagenome. RNAcentral's name for it is "raiA RNA". It matches the Rfam family "raiA RNA". The record is from RNAcentral.
CGCGCGUCUGUGGUUGAAAGUCGAUGCCAGUCGCAGGCGAAACGAUCCACGUAACCCGGGAAAAUUCCGGUGAGCAUGGUGCGGCUUAGAUGUAAGUCCUGCCCGUCCACGGGCGGAGAGCUGUAGUAGUGGGGAGGCCAUUGCCUUAGGAGCGAACCAGCCGGCAGGCGAGUGUGGGGUCAAAGACCAGGUCAGGCGC